GAGUUUGAUCCUGGCUCAGAUUGAACGCUGGCGGCAGGCCUAACACAUGCAAGUCGAGCGGUAGCACAGAGAGCUUGCUCUCGGGUGACGAGCGGCGGACGGGUGAGUAAUGUCUGGGAAACUGCCUGAUGGAGGGGGAUAACUACUGGAAACGGUAGCUAAUACCGCAUAACGUCGCAAGACCAAAGUGGGGGACCUUCGGGCCUCAUGCCAUCAGAUGUGCCCAGAUGGGAUUAGCUAGUAGGUGGGGUAACGGCUCACCUAGGCGACGAUCCCUAGCUGGUCUGAGAGGAUGACCAGCCACACUGGAACUGAGACACGGUCCAGACUCCUACGGGAGGCAGCAGUGGGGAAUAUUGCACAAUGGGCGCAAGCCUGAUGCAGCCAUGCCGCGUGUGUGAAGAAGGCCUUCGGGUUGUAAAGCACUUUCAGCGGGGAGGAAGGCGAUAAGGUUAAUAACCUUGUCGAUUGACGUUACCCGCAGAAGAAGCACCGGCUAACUCCGUGCCAGCAGCCGCGGUAAUACGGAGGGUGCAAGCGUUAAUCGGAAUUACUGGGCGUAAAGCGCACGCAGGCGGUCUGUCAAGUCGGAUGUGAAAUCCCCGGGCUCAACCUGGGAACUGCAUUCGAAACUGGCAGGCUAGAGUCUUGUAGAGGGGGGUAGAAUUCCAGGUGUAGCGGUGAAAUGCGUAGAGAUCUGGAGGAAUACCGGUGGCGAAGGCGGCCCCCUGGACAAAGACUGACGCUCAGGUGCGAAAGCGUGGGGAGCAAACAGGAUUAGAUACCCUGGUAGUCCACGCCGUAAACGAUGUCGAUUUGGAGGUUGUGCCCUUGAGGCGUGGCUUCCGGAGCUAACGCGUUAAAUCGACCGCCUGGGGAGUACGGCCGCAAGGUUAAAACUCAAAUGAAUUGACGGGGGCCCGCACAAGCGGUGGAGCAUGUGGUUUAAUUCGAUGCAACGCGAAGAACCUUACCUGGUCUUGACAUCCACAGAACUUUCCAGAGAUGGAUUGGUGCCUUCGGGAACUGUGAGACAGGUGCUGCAUGGCUGUCGUCAGCUCGUGUUGUGAAAUGUUGGGUUAAGUCCCGCAACGAGCGCAACCCUUAUCCUUUGUUGCCAGCGGUUAGGCCGGGAACUCAAAGGAGACUGCCAGUGAUAAACUGGAGGAAGGUGGGGAUGACGUCAAGUCAUCAUGGCCCUUACGACCAGGGCUACACACGUGCUACAAUGGCAUAUACAAAGAGAAGCGACCUCGCGAGAGCAAGCGGACCUCAUAAAGUAUGUCGUAGUCCGGAUUGGAGUCUGCAACUCGACUCCAUGAAGUCGGAAUCGCUAGUAAUCGUAGAUCAGAAUGCUACGGUGAAUACGUUCCCGGGCCUUGUACACACCGCCCGUCACACCAUGGGAGUGGGUUGCGGUGAAGUCGUAACAAGGUAAAUCGUCGACCUGCA
RNAcentral lists this ribosomal RNA (1452 nucleotides) under Klebsiella pneumoniae. RNAcentral's name for it is "bacterial SSU rRNA". It matches the Rfam family "Bacterial small subunit ribosomal RNA". Lineage: Bacteria; Pseudomonadati; Pseudomonadota; Gammaproteobacteria; Enterobacterales; Enterobacteriaceae. The record is from RNAcentral.